GGUAAAAUGGCUGAGUAAGCUUUAGACUAUAAAUCUAAAGAGAGAUUGAGCUCUCUUUUUACCA
Pan troglodytes (chimpanzee) is the source of this 64-nucleotide non-coding RNA. NCBI's taxonomy places the organism in Eukaryota, Metazoa, Chordata, Mammalia, Primates, Hominidae. The record is from Rfam.